This 306-nucleotide long non-coding RNA is filed under the name Olea europaea (common olive). Its description in RNAcentral is "long non-coding RNA (OEUR_LNC010153)". Lineage: Eukaryota; Viridiplantae; Streptophyta; Magnoliopsida; Lamiales; Oleaceae. The record is from RNAcentral.
AAGACGUAAUACAAUUAAAAAUUUUGAGAAUUCCUUUGAAGUAUUAGAAUAUAACUCUCCAUGGUAUUGAUGCUUUUGUAAUUGUGAUAAUAAGUACUCGAGAAUCAUUAGCUGUAGUUCCCAUCCAGCAUACACAAAGAUGAAUUUAAUAUCAAAUCACAUGUCAUCAUCACAUUUUGUGUUAUAUUAAUUUUCCAUACACUAAAGUUGUUUGUCUCGAUAGGGGUGUCCAAGCAAAAAUAUAUGUCCUACUAUUGUGCCUACAUAAUCAUGUAAUGUGAUAGCAAAUGAGAAUUUAUUUGUAAU